GCCAUACCUGCUUCUCAAAGCCUGAUCUCAGAAGCUGAGCCAGGCCAGUCCUGGUUAAUACUUUGAUGGGAGACUGCUGGGAAUAUCUGGUGC
Molecule: ribosomal RNA, 93 nt
Filed under: Periophthalmus magnuspinnatus
Lineage: Eukaryota; Metazoa; Chordata; Actinopteri; Gobiiformes; Gobiidae
Source: RNAcentral